RNAcentral lists this long non-coding RNA (427 nucleotides) under Zostera marina. RNAcentral's name for it is "long non-coding RNA (ZMAR_LNC002354)". Lineage: Eukaryota; Viridiplantae; Streptophyta; Magnoliopsida; Alismatales; Zosteraceae. The record is from RNAcentral.
UUUCAAUCCCCUCUCCAUUCAUAUCAAUUUCUCAAAUCGCCACCCACUGUUGGACAUUCCACUCGUUGCAGGUCGUCGUCUUCCUGAAAUAUCUGUAACUCAUCGCGAGAGUUUCCGAGGACGGUUCGAUCCGCAGAACUGCAAUCAAGUUUCUGGAACCCAUCGCGAGUUUCCCGGAACUUGAUGCAGUUCCGCAGAACCGUCGAUUGGCGAUUUCUCGGAACCGCCAUUGGGAACAUCCGGCACCCUCACACUUGACGGAUGGUCGAGCUUCGCGUAGGGAUUGGACGGUUGGAUGUGGUGUCUGUCACAUGUACCUCACCGGACGAGUACCGUCUCAGAAUCGCGCCGUAUAUUACCUAGUGCAUAUAUGUAUGACGUCGAGUACUGUGAGUCUCGAAAAAAAACAUAUCAAAGUACAAAACAG